RNAcentral lists this unclassified non-coding RNA (279 nucleotides) under plant metagenome. RNAcentral describes it as "partial contains small subunit ribosomal RNA, internal transcribed spacer 1, and 5.8S ribosomal RNA". The record is from RNAcentral.
UUUCCGUAGGUGAACCUGCGGAAGGAUCAUUAUUGAAUGAAACACCUCUGGCUUCCAGCUGUUGCGAUGGCCCUUUGGGCAAUGGCGACAAGGCUCCGGGCACUUGUUUUCUCUGUUACAUCCGUGCGAAGCCUGUACACACGCUGUGCCCGUGAUCUUUGUAUACACCCAACAAGGAUAGUUGGCAUGAUAUAUAUAAUCAUAAAUAAUACUAACUUCAACAACGGAUCUGUUUGUUAUCGCAUCGAAGAAGAAAGCAGAAGAUCGGAAAAACAGCCC